CCUACGGGCGGCUGCAGUGGGGAAUAUUGCACAAUGGGCGCAAGCCUGAUGCAGCCAUGCCGCGUGUGUGAAGAAGGCCUUCGGGUUGUAAAGCACUUUCAGCGGGGAGGAAGGCGGUGAGGUUAAUAACCUCAUCGAUUGACGUUACCCGCAGAAGAAGCACCGGCUAACUCCGUGCCAGCAGCCGCGGUAAUACGGAGGGUGCAAGCGUUAAUCGGAAUUACUGGGCGUAAAGCGCACGCAGGCGGUCUGUCAAGUCGGAUGUGAAAUCCCCGGGCUCAACCUGGGAACUGCAUUCGAAACUGGCAGGCUAGAGUCUUGUAGAGGGGGGUAGAAUUCCAGGUGUAGCGGUGAAAUGCGUAGAGAUCUGGAGGAAUACCGGUGGCGAAGGCGGCCCCCUGGACAAAGACUGACGCUCAGGUGCGAAAGCGUGGGGAGCGAACAGGAUUAGAUACCCGUGUAGUC
This 465-nucleotide ribosomal RNA is filed under the name uncultured Klebsiella sp. RNAcentral's name for it is "bacterial SSU rRNA". It matches the Rfam family "Bacterial small subunit ribosomal RNA", at positions 338 to 795 of the family's 1533-position model. The record is from RNAcentral. Lineage: Bacteria; Pseudomonadati; Pseudomonadota; Gammaproteobacteria; Enterobacterales; Enterobacteriaceae.